GAGCAGCUGCGCCACCGGCUCAGCCUCGCGGCGGGGGAAACCCGAGCUCCCAACAAAACGGUUCCAUCUUUGGCUAGGCCUUUGAGAGCUAAUGCUGGCAGCUGUUGGGAUGUCCUCUUCCAGGAAUGGUGAUGAGUUUCCCUGGAUCCAGCCCUGGCUUGGCUGAGGUUUUUCUCACUGUAAGAAGAGGACAAUAGCCUAUGAUCUACAGUGCCCAUUCCAACUCAGAGAAUCUUUACAUCUGGAGAUCUAUAGCAGGGCUAUCCCUAGUGACAUGCGUGAAGAAGCUUGGAAAUGGUGCUGGGUAGGAGCUGAGUGUGCAGAAUGUGGAAAGGCAUUCUAAACCAAAGGAAGAACACGAGUAAAGAUGAUGAAGCAGGGAUAAGGCUAAAAUGAAAUUUGUGAUCUGAUCCACAUACAAGCACAGUGUAGUACAGCUGGAAUAUAGAGAAGAGCUUGAAGACUUAUGAGCAACUAUCCCGGUACUCUUGGAGGCUCUGCAACCACAGUUUGAGAAACUCCGCGUUCAAAGUUAAAAACUGUCACCUGAAUAGUUAAUAACAUCAAAGAUUGUGAAAGCAAGUAUAAAUAACACAGAGAUUAAAAUAAUGAGGCAGGAUCAGAAAGGGUUAUGGUGGCCAUCCAGACAUAAAGAAAUUAGAACGUU
Molecule: long non-coding RNA, 667 nt
Filed under: Homo sapiens (human)
Lineage: Eukaryota; Metazoa; Chordata; Mammalia; Primates; Hominidae
Description: non-protein coding lnc-CPN2-4:47
Source: RNAcentral